RNAcentral lists this ribosomal RNA (274 nucleotides) under uncultured bacterium. Its description in RNAcentral is "partial 16S ribosomal RNA". It matches the Rfam family "Bacterial small subunit ribosomal RNA", at positions 523 to 796 of the family's 1533-position model. The record is from RNAcentral.
AUACGGAGGGUGCGAGCGUUAAUCGGAAUUACUGGGCGUAAAGCGCGCGUAGGCGGUUUGAUAAGUCGGAUGUGAAAGCCCCGAGCUUAACUUGGGAACUGCAUUCGAUACUGUCAGACUAGAGUAUGGUAGAGGGUAGUGGAAUUCCAGGUGUAGCGGUGAAAUGCGUAGAUAUCCGGAGGAACACCAGUGGCGAAGGCGGCUACCUGGACCAAUACUGACGCUAAGGUGCGAAAGCGUGGGGAGCAAACAGGAUUAGAAACCCCAGUAGUCC